RNAcentral lists this long non-coding RNA (754 nucleotides) under Cyanistes caeruleus (blue tit). RNAcentral's name for it is "lncRNA (ENSCCEG00000005668.1)". The record is from RNAcentral. Lineage: Eukaryota; Metazoa; Chordata; Aves; Passeriformes; Paridae.
GCAGUGGGAAAGAUGAGCAGUGGUGUAGCUAUAUGGAAACUCACCCAAUCCCCAAUAGCAAACACAGCAUCCUUAGCAAUGCCAUGGCUUUGGACUUCCAGGGACACUUGGUGUUGGAGUCAUCUGGCCACAGCUGCCAGUCGUGCAAAUGACUUCUGCAGGAAAUUGCUCUUUCAGAGUGUCCAUUUACAGAGGCAGGAAUGCAGACUGAAAAAUUCUUAAGAAUGGAAGCUCCUUGCUGGUGACAAGAAGGAGUCUACAGAACCAUGGCUGAUUUUGUGCACCUUGUCUGCGUGAAGAAUAAUCCUAGUGUAAUACCUGCAUUUCGGAUACUACUUUACCCAGUUGAGCCAGGGCAGUUGAUGGCUCCAUUUGUCAGAUAAUUGCCUACUGAGGAGUUUUCAAGAAUAUGCAAACAGAAGAUGACUUUUUCUCUUGUCUCCACCUGAUUGUUUCCUUGCCUGCAAGCUGAAUCUCUGCCGUCCUCUUCUUUAUUUUGCUUUGCACAAACAUUCUCACAGGAUGUGUUGGUAACCAGUGGGUGACUGGCUGUGGUCUUAGGACAGGGUAGAUAAGAAGAGAACAUUUCAACACUGGGUUGCAGCAAGACAUCUUAUAGUCAUAACACAGUUGGUCUCCCUUGUUGCUGUGCCAGGGACAGUGCAAACCACUGAUUCAAAUUCUCCCCAGAUAUAAUAGGUAUUUACAGUUACCAUACAAUUCACAAUGCUCAGGUAGGCAGAUACAAAAAAAA